Long non-coding RNA from Caretta caretta (loggerhead turtle), 626 nucleotides. RefSeq lists it as uncharacterized. The record is from RefSeq and is a predicted model, not a curated record. Lineage: Eukaryota; Metazoa; Chordata; Testudines; Cheloniidae.
GCACCUGGAAACAUUCAGGGCACACCCUGACUGUUGUGUAGGAGCGAUGCACACACUGCUCCGUCCAAGGACAUGGACCAUGGGAAGUCAACUAAAGGACAUGAACCGUGGGAAGCUUCCUUGGCCUGGGCUCAAGGCCUGAGAACAAGGAUUGUAGUAGAUAGAGGCUGGUAAAUAAGAAUAUUAAUCAAAGUCAUUUUAUUUCCUUUGUUGAUGCCUUCUGUGGUCGGAGUAUGUAUUGCGCAGGGGGAAGAGAAAUAAAAGGAGAGCUGGAAAAGCUGACGGGGGCAAUCCCGUCAGCAGACCAGCCUGCUUGGUUGCCUAAAGUCGUGUUCUGUCUUGUACUGAACCGCCACAACUGGCGCCCAAACGUGGGGCCCUCAGCACUCACCUCGCCCGGCAAGGGUUUCAGACGCGUCACUCAUCCGCUUCGCGGAUCCCGGGCUGGUGGACACUGGAGCUGACGUUACGGUGAUUCGUGAUCCGGAGUGGCCGGUCGAUGCAGACCUCCUUCGCCUGUUUUUGUCUUUACAGUAUCUCAUCACCACUCGUAAUUUCCCUUAUUUUGUUGCUCAUAUUCGCAGUCAUACCCCUCGGCCUGGGCUACUCACUGAGGGCAAUGCGCA